AACAAACGCUGGCGGCGUGCCUAAUACAUGCAAGUCGAACGGGGAAAGCUUUCGGGUGCGUCCUAGUGGCGCACGGGUGAGGAACGCGUGGAUAAUCUGCCUUAGAGUGGGGGAUAACUAGUCGAAAGAUUAGCUAAUACCGCAUAAGACCACGAGAGCUGCGGCUUUUGAGGUCAAAGGUUUUUCGCUCUAAGAUGAGUCCGCGUAAGAUUAGCUAGUUGGUGAGGUAACGGCUCACCAAGGCGACGAUCUUUAACUGGUCUGAGAGGAUGAUCAGUCACACUGGAACUGAGACACGGUCCAGACUCCUACGGGAGGCAGCAGUAGGGAAUAUUGCACAAUGGAGGAAACUCUGAUGCAGCGACGCCGCGUGAGUGAUGAAGGCCUUCGGGUCGUAAAGCUCUGUCGCAGGGGAAUAACACAAUGAAGGUACCCUGUAAGAAAGGAUCGGCUAACUUCGUG
Molecule: ribosomal RNA, 462 nt
Filed under: uncultured bacterium
Lineage: Bacteria
Description: partial 16S ribosomal RNA
Rfam family: Bacterial small subunit ribosomal RNA
Source: RNAcentral